AUGGGUGUGCUGAAAUUGGUAUACAGGUUCCGCUUAGGACGGAGUGGUUUAAAUACUAUGCAAGUUCGAGUCUUGUCACCUAUA
RNAcentral lists this transfer RNA (84 nucleotides) under Phaeoacremonium minimum UCRPA7. It matches the Rfam family "tRNA". Rfam says of the family: Transfer RNA (tRNA) molecules are approximately 80 nucleotides in length. Their secondary structure includes four short double-helical elements and three loops (D, anti-codon, and T loops). Further hydrogen bonds mediate the characteristic L-shaped molecular structure. tRNAs have two regions of fundamental functional importance: the anti-codon, which is responsible for specific mRNA codon recognition, and the 3' end, to which the tRNAs corresponding amino acid is attached (by aminoacyl-tRNA synthetases). tRNAs cope with the degeneracy of the genetic code in two manners: having more than one tRNA (with a specific anti-codon) for a particular amino acid; and 'wobble' base-pairing, i.e. permitting non-standard base-pairing at the 3rd anti-codon position. Lineage: Eukaryota; Fungi; Ascomycota; Sordariomycetes; Togniniales; Togniniaceae. The record is from Rfam by way of RNAcentral.